Spodoptera frugiperda (fall armyworm) is the source of this 1611-nucleotide long non-coding RNA. RefSeq lists it as uncharacterized. The record is from RefSeq and is a predicted model, not a curated record. NCBI's taxonomy places the organism in Eukaryota, Metazoa, Arthropoda, Insecta, Lepidoptera, Noctuidae. The transcript is spliced from 2 exons.
CUAUAUAUAUAAAAAUCAAUUGCUGUUCCUUUGUCUCGCUAAAACUCGAGAACGGCUGAACGGAUUUAUCUUAUCUUGGUCUUGAAUUAUUCGUGGAGGUCUAGGGAAGGUUUAAAAGGUGAGAAAAUAUCAAAUAAUUGACGGAAAAGCCCUAAAAACAGCCCUUUUCUUUAUCCCAUACAAACGUUUUCUAACUAAUACGUAGAGUCAAUUUGAGCUUUAUUGCUAUUGGAUAAAGUUCAUUGUUGGAUAAAUGCUAUUGGAUACUAAAAAACAAAUGCUAUUGAAUAAGUGUGCGUUGGAGACUUGGAGCACAGAAUCCCUACUAAUAUUAUAAAUGCGAAAGUAACUCUGUCUGUCUGUAAUUACGCUUACAAGCCUAAACCAGUGAACCGAUUUUGAUGGAAUUUAGUACUGAGAUAGAAUAGACCUUGAUACUUUUUAAGCAAAAAAAUAGCGGAGAAUGGGUAAAAAUAAGGGAUAAAUGGUGAUAUGGAAAUUCGUCAUUUUAAAAGCCGUAACAGUAAAACUUUGUAUUUAGAUACUUAAUGAGGAACGAAAGAACAUGGUCUACUUUUUAUUGCAAAAAAAUAGGGGAGAGUGGGUAAAAAUAGGAGAUGAAUGGUCAUAUGGAAAUUCGUCAUUUUUAAAGCUGUAACAGUGAAAUUUUGUAUUUAGACACUUAAUGAGGAGCGAAAGAACAUAGGCUACUUUUUAAUAAAAAGGGUAGAAGGCGUAGUAUGUUUGAUAGAGGAGAUUAAUGUUUGCUUGAAAAUUCGUCAUUUUUGUUAAUACGUUGCCUGUGGCUUCACUCGCGUUCGAUCCUUAUUUAAAUACACAUAUAAUUAUUUAAAUCGCCAAUAUCCCUACUACAAAGAAAUAUAAGAGCAAAUCAAACUGAUGAGCAUCGCGAAGCGCGAAAUGAACUUGAACUGAAUCGAUAUCAAGAUAGAAAUGUUCUGUUUAAUCCCCACAAAGCUGCAUUCAGUUAUAAUGUGGCAAUUGAUUAGAGCAAAGUUCAGAGCAAAUUGUUGCUAUUGGACUAAUGAACAUUUUGUGUCCACAUUGGGGUUGAAAUUAAAAAAUGAAGCCUCUGGAUUGUGUUGAGCCAGCGGCCAAGUCAAAUUGACGCCAUUGGUACCGCCACCAGAGCCACUACAUUCAUUGGUUCAUUUUUUGACUCAUAUCCAGCAGUACAAUAAUUGCUUUCAAAUGACAUCAUUUGGGGCAACAAAAGUUAUACGAGACAAUUUUUUGCCUACUUUUAGCAAAUUCAGGGAUUCAAAUAUAUCAUCAAACAGGUUCCUUAUUGCCAGUGCCUGUUGAAGACUAUACAUUUUUGCAAAUAUAUUUUAUGGACAAUUCAGCAAGAGAAGUCGAUCAGCGUUGCGCACACAACAACUCAGUAAAGAGAUCCAUUGUGAUGAACAACUUCAAACAUUUUUCCUUCAACACAAUGAAUUAGUUGCAUUAGACCGAUGCAUUAGACAUUCACAAAUGCAUUAGACCGCAUGCCAUCAGAUAAUCACAAAAUUGUCAUCAGAGCCGAUAAGGCGCCUGCAGGACAGUGAAAUGAUUGAAUCCUAUGAAAUAAACACUAUUAUGAAAAUA